RNAcentral lists this ribosomal RNA (1440 nucleotides) under Megacopta aff. cribraria TW2. RNAcentral describes it as "SSU rRNA". It matches the Rfam family "Eukaryotic small subunit ribosomal RNA", at positions 52 to 1391 of the family's 1831-position model. The record is from RNAcentral. Lineage: Eukaryota; Metazoa; Arthropoda; Insecta; Hemiptera; Plataspidae.
UGCAAGUCUCAGUACGAGCCGCCUUGAGGUGAAACCGCAAAAGGCUCAGUAAACCGGUCAUAGUUUACCGGAUAUAUGCCACUGAGGUGGAUAACUGUGGUAAUUCUAGAGCUAAUACAUGCAACCAAGUCCCGACCAGCGAUGGGAAGGACGCUUUUAUUGGAUCAAGACCAUUCGCCCCGGCCCGCCGGGGCGUCUGCUUGGUGACUCUAGAUAACACCACAGAUCGCACGGUCACAGCACCGGCGACGUAUCCGUCAAAUGUCUGACUUAUCAGCUGUCGAUGGUAGACUCUGUGUCUACCAUGGCGCUCACGGGUGACGGGGAAUCAGGGUUCGAUUCCGGAGAGGGAGCCUGAGAAACGGCUACCACAUCCAAGGAAGGCAGCAGGCACGCAAAUUACCCACUCCCGGCACGGGGAGGUAGUGACAAAAAAUAACGAUACGGGACUCAUCCGAGGCCCCGUAAUCGGAAUGAGAACACCCUAAAUCCUUUAACGAGGAUCUAUUGGAGGGCAAGUCUGGUGCCAGCAGCCGCGGUAAUUCCAGCUCCAAUAGCGUAUAUUAAAGUUGUUGCGGUUAAAAAGCUCGUAGUUGGUUCUGCGUGCCACGCUGUCGGUUCACCGCCUGUCGGUGCAACUGGCAUGCCGUGGCAUGUCCUGUCGGUGGCCGACGGGCUUCGCGGCGCGCCCCGCGCGUUCACACGUGUGGGUCGUCGCGCCGGGUCGUCCUCGUGGGCCGGCUCAAUCCUACCGCGGUGCUCUUCACCGAGUGUCGAGGUAGGCCGACACUGUUUACUUUGAACAAAUUAGAGUGCUUAAAGCAGGCUCUGAAAGCAGCCUGAAUAGUGGUGCAUGGAAUAAUGGAACAGGACCUUGGUUCUAUUCUGUUGGUUUUCUGAAUCCAAGGUAAUGAUCAAUAAGGACAGGCGGGGGCAUUCGUAUUGCGACGUUAGAGGUGAAAUUCUUGGAUCGUCGCAAGACGCACUAGAGCGAAAGCAUUUGCCAAGUAUGUCUUAAUUGAUCAAGAACGAAAGUUAGAGGUUCGAAGGCGAUCAGAUACCGCCCUAGUUCUAACCAUAAACGAUGCCAGCCAGCGAUCCGCCGAUGUUCCUCCGAUGACUCGGCGGGGAGCUUCCCCCGGGAAACCAAAGCUCUUGGGUUCCGGGGGAAGUAUGGUUGCAAAGCUGAAACUUAAAGGAAUUGACGGAAGGGCACCACCAGGAGUGGAGCCUGCGGCUUAAUUUGACUCAACACGGGAAACCUCACCAGGCCCGGACAUUGGAAGGAUUGACAGAUCGAUAGCUCUUUCUCGAUUCAGUGGGUAGUGGUGCAUGGCCGUUCUUAGUUGGUGGACUGAUUUGUCUGGUUAAUUCCGAUAACGAACGAGACUCUGACCUAUUAACUAGGCGAUCCCGGUAUAGUAGCCUACCGGCGAGAUU